This is a non-coding RNA of Theobroma umbraticum, 1440 nucleotides long. Lineage: Eukaryota; Viridiplantae; Streptophyta; Magnoliopsida; Malvales; Malvaceae. The record is from RefSeq and is a predicted model, not a curated record.
ACUCGUCCGCACCCGUAGUGCCAGAAAAAUGUCAGCCCAUAUCAAGUCGGUGAGAAGAAGAAAAUACAUGUGGUCCCACCUAUUGGGCUCGUCGCGCUAUCGUCUGUAUAAUCGGUCGAUGAAGGCCCGAGACGUGGCGCGAUCAUGACGCUUUUGCCCCUUUCACUCACUUGUUUUAACCUCAGUCUCUGUUUCGGGCUCAGCAGUGAUCUGUCGAACUCCAUCGGCUAACCAAUGGAUAACUUUGGGAAACCAAACUUUUAUGGAAGCUGCGCGGGCGGCGUCGCCGGAGAAGAUAUCCUUAACAGCCUUCAGGGCGGCGGUUCUAACUAUCAGGGCGCCAUGGAAGCUCUACUACAACACAUGGAUCAAGAUCAGUUUAAUCAAAUUGAUGUCACAAGUAGUGGAGAGGCACAUCAGCAGGCAACAAAAGAAUAUUGCUCCUUGCCACAAGGUUCAAUUGUGUCUAAAGAUGCCCAUUCCCCAGUACUUGCUCCUAAUGCUGACCUAGAAAAGGCUGAAAAGAAAAGAAAAAUUGAUCAAGCAUAUAGAGAAAGGUGCAAGUGUUCUUUCUUAUGUACAGAAAACCAAAACGCAAAUGAUACGUGACUUGAAGACUUUUGGUGAAGAAAAUGAGCAUUUGAGGAUGGAGAAUAAAACUCUGAAGGAGGACAAUGCUUCAAUGACUCAAAUGUUGCAGUCUCAAACGAAAGAGUUACUCCAACAUAAAAAUCGUCUGGACCAGUUGAAAUUUGAGAAUGAGAAGCAAAAUGCUCUUGUACAAGUACUUUCAGACCUUGUAGUCAAUUCUAAUCUUUCCCACGAAAAUCAGAAGCUGAAAGAUGAAAAUGCACAGUUGAGACAAAUGGUCAAAUUGAGUGGUGAGCCAUUAAAGCUUGUGCAGGAGAAUGGAAAAUUACAACACGAAAAUAUGUUACUCAAAGUGCAAAUAGAUGCCUUAUGUGGGAAGAUAGUCGAUGACAAUAGAAAUAAUUGUGGCCGUUGAUUGACUUGUAUAAGGAGCAACGACUGCUGUUGCAAAGUUUCCUUAGAAACAGAAUUUAGAUUGAUCCAACUCUUCGAACAUACCUUCCCAACGUCCGUAUAUAAUCAACAGCACUGGCUGAUAAAUGUCAUUUUCAGCACAAAAAUUCAAAAGUAACUAAGAGUUCAUUAUCAAGCAAAGGAGUUAAAUGAAAACAAACGUCAAGGUAUGAUAAUCCACACCUUUCAUAAAGCUGCCCAAGCUCAGUUCAAGUGUUUGGACUUUGGAGUGGAAAUUAGCAUAAAAACUCGAGCCUAACUAUGUUUUAGUGUUUGCUCUUUUUGGUAUGUGAAAAAAAUGAUACUUAAAUGUAGAUGACUUAGCUCAAGAAGUCUUAUGUGUUGUAAAGUAAUGUAGCGUUUAAUAAAUCGAAAUGGUAUUUUUCUUUCCUGGUU